GUUUAAAUGGGUGGGGAGAGAGCCCCAUGAGGUGGCCCGAGUUUGUAAUCCCAGCAACUAGGGAGGCUGAAGCUGGAGGGUGGCAAGUUCAAGGCCAGCAUGGGUAACUUAGUGAGACUGUGUCUCAUAGUGAAAAAAUUAAAAGAAUUGAGGGUGUGAGUCAGUGGUAGAACCCUUGCCUAACACGUGGGGGCUCUGGGUUCCAUUCCCGCACCAAAAAAGAGAAAAAAGAAGGAAAGAAAAAGUAGGGCUAGGGCUGAGAGUGGAGUCUUUGUGUAGUCGUUUUUAAAAAAUUCUGCCGGAGGUGAAAGAGGAGCACCCCCAUCAGGACAACUGGUCUGACCUGCCUGUCCCUGGCCUCAGAAAUCUCUCAACCCUUCCCAUAUUCUGUA
This 392-nucleotide long non-coding RNA is filed under the name Marmota monax (woodchuck). The record is from RNAcentral. Lineage: Eukaryota; Metazoa; Chordata; Mammalia; Rodentia; Sciuridae.